UGGUUAAAAAGCUCGUAGUUGGAUCUCGGCGGACUGAGGGCGGUUUGCUUGCUAGUAUUGCUGCCCUAUAGUCCGUGGUUUUGCCAGAGGUUUCGGGGUGCUCUUAAUCGAGUGUCCCGGGAUGCUGGCAGGUUUACUUUGAAAAAAUUAGAGUGCUCAAAGCAGGCUAUUACGCCUGAAUAUUCGUGCAUGGAAUAAUAGAAUAGGAAGUCGUUUCUAUUUUGUUGGUUUUCGGAAAUCGACUUAAUGAUUAAUAGGGACAGUCGGGGGCAUUUGUAUUCAAACGACAGAGGUGAAAUUCUUGGACCGUUUGAAGACAAACUACUGCGAAAGCAUUUGCCAAGAAUGUUUUCAUUAAUCAAGAACGAAAGUUAAAGGUUCGAAGGCGAUUAGAUACCGCCCUAGUUUUAACCAUAAACGAUGCCAGCUAGCGAUCUGCGGACGUUUUUUUUGUAGACUCCGCAGGAAGCUUCCGGGAAGCCAAAGCAUUUGGGUUCCAGGGGAAGUAUGGUUGCAAAGCUGAAACUUAAAGGAAUUGACGGAAGGGCACCACCAGGAGUGGAGCCUGUGGCUUAAUUUGACUCAACACGGGAAAUCUCACCAGGCCCGGACACUGGAAGGAUUGACAGAUUGAUAGCUCU
This 641-nucleotide ribosomal RNA is filed under the name uncultured marine eukaryote. Its description in RNAcentral is "SSU rRNA". It matches the Rfam family "Eukaryotic small subunit ribosomal RNA", at positions 616 to 1258 of the family's 1831-position model. The record is from RNAcentral.